GGUAUACGAUGGACCCGCGUCUGAUUAGCCAGUUGGCAGGGUAACGGCCUACCAAAGCAACGAUCAGUAGCCGGCCUGAGAGGGUGGACGGCCACAUUGGGACUGAGACACGGCCCAAACUCCUGCGGGAGGCAGCAGUGGGGGAUAUUGCACAAUGGGGGAAACCCUGAUGCAGCGACGCCGCGUGAGUGAAGAAGCAUUUCGGUGUGUAAAGCUCUAUCAGCAGGGAAGAAGAAUGACGGUACCUGACUAAGAAGCCCCGGCUAACUACGUGCCAGCAGCCGCGGUAAUACGUAGGGGGCAAGCGUUAUCCGGAUUUACUGGGUGUAAAGGGAGCGUAGACGGCAAUGCAAGCCAGAUGUGAAAACCCGCAGCUCAACUGGGGGAGUGCAUUUGGAACUGUGUAGCUGGAGUGCAGGAGAGGUAAGCGGAAUUCCUGGUGUAGCGGUGAAAUGCGUAGAUAUCAGGAGGAACACCAGUGGCGAAGGCGGCUUACUGGACUGUAACUGACGUUGAGGCUCGAAAGCGUGGGGAGCAAACAGGAUUAGAUACCCUGGUAGUCCACGCUGUAAACGAUGAAUACUAGGUGUCGGGG
RNAcentral lists this ribosomal RNA (595 nucleotides) under uncultured bacterium. Its description in RNAcentral is "bacterial SSU rRNA". It matches the Rfam family "Bacterial small subunit ribosomal RNA", at positions 217 to 828 of the family's 1533-position model. The record is from RNAcentral.